This 284-nucleotide unclassified non-coding RNA is filed under the name plant metagenome. RNAcentral describes it as "partial contains small subunit ribosomal RNA and internal transcribed spacer 1". The stretch from base 1 to 53 matches the Rfam family "Eukaryotic small subunit ribosomal RNA", at positions 1778 to 1831 of the family's 1831-position model. The record is from RNAcentral.
GGAAGUAAAAGUCUAACAAGGUUUCCGUAGGUGAACCUGCGGAAGGAUCAUUAUUGUAUAACCGAGGUGCGAGGGCUGUCGCUGACCCGAAAGGUCGUGCACGCCCGAGUGCCCUCACACACAUCCAUCUCACCCCUAUGUGCACCACCGCGUGGGUCCCCCUUUGGCUUGUUCGGAGGGGGGCUUACGUUUUCACACAAACUUUGUAUGCAGUGUAGAAUGUAUUUUUUGUUUUUGCGAUCACGCAAUCAAUACAACUUCCAACAACGGAUCUCUUGGCUCUC